CCUGAACAAGCUCUCUUUGCCUGCUGCCAUCCAUGUAAGACGUGACUUAUUCCUCCUUGCCUUCCGCCAUGAUUGUGAGGCCUCCCCAGCCAUUCAGAACUCACAGGUACUUUCUUACUUCUCUUCAGUUAUCUUUGGGAGAAAGGAAAGUGACCAUCCUUCUUCCCAGGGCUGCUCUGAGAACAAACACUGCCGGGGGCUGCCUUUUGAGAGAGAGAGAAAGCCAGACCUCUUAAAUUUGUCUUCCACCUUCUACUGACUCUAAUCUCAG
RNAcentral lists this long non-coding RNA (271 nucleotides) under Homo sapiens (human). RNAcentral's name for it is "PREDICTED lncRNA (TCONS_00261611)". The record is from RNAcentral. Lineage: Eukaryota; Metazoa; Chordata; Mammalia; Primates; Hominidae.